UGGGGAAUAUUGGACAAUGGGCGCAAGCCUGAUCCAGCCAUGCCGCGUGAGUGACGAAGGUCUUCGGGUUGUAAAGCUCUUUUGGCGGGGACGAUAAUGACGGUACCCGCAGAAUAAGCCCCGGCUAACUUCGUGCCAGCAGCCGCGGUAAUACGAAGGGGGCUAGCGUUGUUCGGAAUUACUGGGCGUAAAGCGCACGUAGGCGGAUAUGCCAGUCAGGGGUGAAAUCCCGAGGCUCAACCUCGGAACUGCCUCCGAUACAGCAUGUCUCGAGUCCGGAAGAGGUGAGUGGAAUUCCUAGUGUAGAGGUGAAAUUCGUAGAUAUUAGGAAGAACACCGGUGGCGAAGGCGGCCCACUGGAUCGGUACUGACGCUGAGGUGCGAAAGCGUGGGGAGCAAACAGGAUUAGAUACCCGAGUAGUCCCUGAGCGGGCUGGCAAGGCGCAU
This 447-nucleotide ribosomal RNA is filed under the name uncultured bacterium. RNAcentral describes it as "bacterial SSU rRNA". It matches the Rfam family "Bacterial small subunit ribosomal RNA", at positions 355 to 825 of the family's 1533-position model. The record is from RNAcentral.